Molecule: ribosomal RNA, 217 nt
Filed under: uncultured bacterium
Lineage: Bacteria
Description: partial 16S ribosomal RNA
Rfam family: Bacterial small subunit ribosomal RNA
Source: RNAcentral
UAACCUGCCUGGUAGCGGGGGAUAACUAUUGGAAACGAUGGCUAAUACCGCAUAAUAGCAGUUAUUGCAUGAUAACUGUUUGAAAGGUGCAAUUGCAUCACUGCCAGAUGGACCUGCGUUGUAUUAGCUAGUUGGUGGGGUAACGGCUCACCAAGGCGACGAUACAUAGCCGACCUGAGAGGGUGAUCGGCCACACUGGGACUGAGACACGGCCCAG